Molecule: ribosomal RNA, 406 nt
Filed under: uncultured bacterium
Lineage: Bacteria
Description: partial 16S ribosomal RNA
Rfam family: Bacterial small subunit ribosomal RNA
Source: RNAcentral
AUUGAACGCUGGCGGCAGGCCUAACACAUGCAAGUCGAACGAGUGGCGGACGGGUGAGUAAUGUCUGGGAAACUGCCUGAUGGAGGGGGAUAACUACUGGAAACGGUAGCUAAUACCGCAUACCAUCGGAUGUGCCAAGAUGGGAUUAGCUAGUAGGUGGGGUAACGGCUCACCUAGGCGACGAUCCCUAGCUGGUCUGAGAGGGUGACCAGCGACACUGGAACUGAGACACGGUCCAGACUACUACGUGAGGCAGCAGUGGGGAAUAUUGCACAAGGGGCGCAAGCCUGAUGCAGCCAUGCCGCGUGUAUGAAGAAGGCCUUCGGGUUGUAAAGUACUUUCAGCGGGGAGGCGUUACCCGCAGAAGAAGCACCGGCUAACUCCGUGCCAGCCGCCGCGGUAAUAC